Molecule: ribosomal RNA, 379 nt
Filed under: uncultured cyanobacterium
Lineage: Bacteria; Bacillati; Cyanobacteriota
Description: bacterial SSU rRNA
Rfam family: Bacterial small subunit ribosomal RNA
Source: RNAcentral
CGAAAGCCUGACGGAGCAACGCCGCGUGAGGGAUGAAGGCCUCUGGGCUGUAAACCUCUUUUCUCAAGGAAGAAGAUCUGACGGUACUUGAGGAAUAAGCCACGGCUAAUUCCGUGCCAGCAGCCGCGGUAAUACGGGAGUGGCAAGCGUUAUCCGGAAUUAUUGGGCGUAAAGCGUCCGCAGGCGGUCUUGUAAGUCUGUCGUUAAAGCGUGGAGCUUAACUCCAUUUAAGCGAUGGAAACUGCAAGACUAGAGUGUGGUAGGGGCAGAGGGAAUUCCCGGUGUAGCGGUGAAAUGCGUAGGUAUCGGGAAGAACACCAGUGGCGAAGGCGCUCUGCUGGGCCAUAACUGACGCUCAUGGACGAAAGCCAGGGGAGCG